UUUUCCAAGGUGACCUC
This 17-nucleotide ribosomal RNA is filed under the name Phyllosticta capitalensis. RNAcentral's name for it is "partial 28S ribosomal RNA". Lineage: Eukaryota; Fungi; Ascomycota; Dothideomycetes; Botryosphaeriales; Phyllostictaceae. The record is from RNAcentral.